CGUGGGUGAUCUGCCCUGGACUCUGGGAUAAGCCUGGGAAACUGGGUCUAAUACCGGAUAUGACCUUACAUCGCAUGGUGUUUGGUGGAAAGCUUUUGCGGUUCAGGAUGGGCCCGCGGCCUAUCAGCUUGUUGGUGGGGGUAAUGGCCUACCAAGGCGACGACGGGUAGCCSACCUGAGAGGGGUGAUCGGCCACACUGGGACUGAGACACGGCCCAGACUCCUACGGGAGGCAGCAGUGGGGAAUAUUGCACAAUGGGCGCAAGCCUGAUGCAGCGACGCCGCGUGAGGGGAUGACGGCCUUCGGGUUGUAAACCUCUUUCACCAGGGACGAAGCGCAAGUGACGGUACCUGGAGAAGAAGCACCGGCCAACUACGUGCCAGCAGCCGCGGUAAUACGUAGGGUGCGAGCGUUGUCCGGAAUUACUGGGCGUAAAGAGCUCGUAGGCGGUUUGUCGCGUCGUCUGUGAAAUUCUGCAACUCAAUUGUAGGCGUGCAGGCGAUACGGGCAGACUUGAGUACUACAGGGGAGACUGGAAUUCCUGGUGUAGCGGUGAAAUGCGCAGAUAUCAGGAGGAACACCGGUGGCGAAGGCGGGUCUCUGGGUAGUAACUGACGCUGAGGAGCGAAAGCGUGGGUAGCGAACAGGAUUAGAUACCCUGGUAGUCCACGCCGUAAACGGUGGGUACUAGGUGUGGGGCUCAUUUCACGAGUUCCGUGCCGUAGCUAACGCAUUAAGUA
RNAcentral lists this ribosomal RNA (741 nucleotides) under Gordonia amicalis. Its description in RNAcentral is "bacterial SSU rRNA". It matches the Rfam family "Bacterial small subunit ribosomal RNA", at positions 116 to 866 of the family's 1533-position model. Lineage: Bacteria; Bacillati; Actinomycetota; Actinomycetes; Mycobacteriales; Gordoniaceae. The record is from RNAcentral.